GUGAAUCAUCGAAUCUUUGAACGCAAAUUGCACUCUCUGGGAUUCCGGAGAGUAUGCGUGUGUGAGGGUCAGAUUAAAUAAAAAUCGGUGUGGUUGCUGCCUUUCGUGGUGACGCACCGGAUGUGGGUCGUCUUGCCUGCGUUUAAGUGACCUAAAAUUUUGCAUGAUUUUUUCGAACGUAUUUAAAUGAUUUUACGUACGUUUCGGUUAUCGAAUACUAUUUUCUGUCAUCUUCAUGA
RNAcentral lists this unclassified non-coding RNA (239 nucleotides) under Glomus sp. RNAcentral describes it as "partial contains 5.8S ribosomal RNA and internal transcribed spacer 2". The stretch from base 1 to 71 matches the Rfam family "5.8S ribosomal RNA", at positions 84 to 154 of the family's 154-position model. The record is from RNAcentral. Lineage: Eukaryota; Fungi; Glomeromycota; Glomeromycetes; Glomerales; Glomeraceae.